GACGAACGCUGGCGGCGUGCUUAAUACAUGCAAGUCGAGCGGAAGGACGAUGCUUUUGUGGCGUUCACGAUUGCCGCAGAGGGGUGAGUCACAUGUGGAAACCGCACCUAUCAGACUGAGAUAACUUCGGGACACGGUAGCUUAUAGCGGAUAAUCUUCUGAACCGCGUUGUUCGAUAGUAAAAUUCGGUCUUGCUGGAACGUCUCGAUGCAUCCGCGCUGCAUUAGCUAGUUGGUAAGGUAACAGCUUACGAAGGCAACGAUGCAUAGCCGACCUGAGAGGGGGAUCGGCCACACUGGAACUGAGACACGGUCCAGACUCCUACGGGAGGCAGCAGUAGGGAAUCUUCCGCAAUGGGCGAAAGCCUGACGGAGCAACGCCGCGUGAGUGAUGAAGGUCUUCGGAUCGUAAAACUCUGUUAUUAGGGAAGAACAUAUGUGUAAGUAACUGUGCACAUCUUGACGGUACCUAAUCAGAAAGCCACGGCUAACUACGUG
Molecule: ribosomal RNA, 497 nt
Filed under: uncultured bacterium
Lineage: Bacteria
Description: partial 16S ribosomal RNA
Rfam family: Bacterial small subunit ribosomal RNA
Source: RNAcentral